UACGGAGGGUGCAAGCAUUGAUCGGAAUUACUGGGCGUAAAGGGCGCGUAGGCGGACGGGGAAGUCAGAUGUGAAAUUCCGGGGCUCAACUCCGGAGCUGCAUUUGAAACUCCCCGUCUAGAGGAUGAUUAGGGAAAACGGAAUUCCACGUGUAGCGGUGAAAUGCGUAGAUAUGUGGAAGAACACCGGUGGUGAAGACGGUUUUCUGGGUCAAACCUGACGCUGAGGCGCGAAAGCUAGGGGAGCAAACAGG
This 253-nucleotide ribosomal RNA is filed under the name uncultured bacterium. Its description in RNAcentral is "partial 16S ribosomal RNA". It matches the Rfam family "Bacterial small subunit ribosomal RNA", at positions 524 to 776 of the family's 1533-position model. The record is from RNAcentral.